AGUGAACGCUGGCGGUAGGCCUAACACAUGCAAGUCGAACGGCAGCACAGUAAGAGCUUGCUCUUACGGGUGGCGAGUGGCGGACGGGUGAGGAAUUCAUCGGAAUCUACUUUUUCGUGGGGGAUAACGUAGGGAAACUUACGCUAAUACCGCAUACGACCUACGGGUGAAAGCAGGGGAUCUUCGGACCUUGCGCGAUUGAAUGAGCCGAUGUCGGAUUAGCUAGUUGGCGGGGUAGAGGCCCACCAAGGCGACGAUCCGUAGCUGGUCUGAGAGGAUGAUCAGCCACACUGGAACUGAGACACGGUCCAGACUCCUACGGGAGGCAGCAGUGGGGAAUAUUGGACAAUGGGCGCAAGCCUGAUCCAGCCAUACCGCGUGGGUGAAGAAGGCCUUCGGGUUGUAAAGCCCUUUUGUUGGGAAAGAAAAGCAGCAGGUUAAUACCCCGCUGUUCUGACGGUACCCAAAGAAUAAGCACCGGCUAACUUCGUG
RNAcentral lists this ribosomal RNA (492 nucleotides) under uncultured bacterium. Its description in RNAcentral is "partial 16S ribosomal RNA". It matches the Rfam family "Bacterial small subunit ribosomal RNA", at positions 29 to 507 of the family's 1533-position model. The record is from RNAcentral.